AGUGAACGCUGGCGGUAGGCCUAACACAUGCAAGUCGAACGGCAGCACAGUAAGAGCUUGCUCUUACGGGUGGCGAGUGGCGGACGGGUGAGGAAUACAUCGGAAUCUACUUUUUCGUGGGGGAUAACGUAGGGAAACUUACGCUAAUACCGCAUACGACCUAAGGGUGAAAGCAGGGGAUCUUCGGACCUUGUGCGAUUGAAUGAGCCGAUGUCGGAUUAGCUGGUUGGCGGGGUAAAGGCCCACCAAGGCGACGAUACGUAGCUGGUCUGAGAGGAUGAUCAGCCACCCUGGAACUGAGACACGGUCCAGACUCCUACGGGAGGCAGCAGUGGGGAAUAUUGGACAAUGGGCGCAAGCCUGAUCCAGCCAUACCGCGUGGGUGAAGAAGACCUUCGGGUUGUAAAGCCCUUUUGUUGGGAAAGAAAAGCAGCAGGUUAAUACCCCGCUGUUCUGACGGUACCCAAUGAAUAAGCACCGGCUAACUUCGUG
This 492-nucleotide ribosomal RNA is filed under the name uncultured bacterium. RNAcentral's name for it is "partial 16S ribosomal RNA". It matches the Rfam family "Bacterial small subunit ribosomal RNA", at positions 29 to 507 of the family's 1533-position model. The record is from RNAcentral.